ACGGGUGAGUAACGCGUGGGAACCUUCCUAGUAGUACGGAAUAACCUCGGGAAACCGUGGCUAAUACCGUAUAAGCCCUCCGGGGGAAAGAUUUAUCGCUACUAGAUGGGCCCGCGUAGGAUUAGCUUGUUGGUGAGGUAAUGGCUCACCAAGGCUGCGAUCCUUAGCUGGUCUGAGAGGAUGAUCAGCCACACUGGGACUGAGACACGGCCCAGACUCCUACGGGAGGCAGCAGUAGGGAAUAUUGGACAAUGGGCGCAAGCCUGAUCCAGCCAUGCCGCGUGAGUGAAGAAGGCCUUAGGGUUGUAAAGCUCUUUUGGUGGGGAAGAUAAUGACGGUACCCACAGAAUAAGCCCCGGCUAACUUCGUGCCAGCAGCCGCGGUAAUACGAAGGGGGCUAGCGUUGUUCGGAAUCACUGGGCGUAAAGCGCACGCAGGCGGACUGAUAAGUCGGGGGUGAAAUCCCGGGGCUCAACCUCGGAAUUGCCUUCGAUACUGCCAGUCUAGAGUCCGGGAGAGGUGAGUGGAAUUCCUAGU
Molecule: ribosomal RNA, 537 nt
Filed under: uncultured bacterium
Lineage: Bacteria
Description: bacterial SSU rRNA
Rfam family: Bacterial small subunit ribosomal RNA
Source: RNAcentral